Molecule: ribosomal RNA, 459 nt
Filed under: uncultured bacterium
Lineage: Bacteria
Description: partial 16S ribosomal RNA
Rfam family: Bacterial small subunit ribosomal RNA
Source: RNAcentral
CCUACGGGUGGCAGCAGUGAGGAAUAUUGGUCAAUGGGCGAGAGCCUGAACCAGCCAAGUCGCGUGAGGGAGUACUGCCCUAUGGGUUGUAAACCUCUUUUGUCGGGGAGCAAAAGCCGGACGUGUCCGGCUGUGAGAUUACCCGAAGAAAAAGCAUCGGCUAACUCCGUGCCAGCAGCCGCGGUAAUACGGAGGAUGAGGGCGUUAUCCGGAUUUAUUGGGUUUAAAGGGUGCGCAGGCGGAGUUUUAAGUCAGCGGUGAAAUACCGAUGCUCAACAUCGGGGAUGCGGCUGAUACUGUAGGACUAGAGAACGAAUGCAGCAUGCGGAAUGUGUAGUGUAGCGGUGAAAUGCAUAGAUAUUACACAGAACACCGAUUGCGAAGGCAGCUUGCUAGGCCGGAUCUGACACUGAUGCACGAAAGCGUGGGGAGCGAACAGGAUUAGAUACCCGAGUAGUC